CGCGAUAAGGGAACCUCGAGUGCCAGGUUACAAAUCUGGCUGUCGUCAUGCCUAAAAAGCAUUGCAUAGCAAGGGCCGGGCAAGACCGGUGCCAGCCGCCGCGGUAACACCGGCGGCUCGAGUGGUAACCGCUUUUAUUGGGUCUAAAGGGUCUGUAGCCGGCCGAUUAAGUCUUUUGGGAAAUCCGGCUGCUCAACCGUUGGGCUUUCAGGAGAUACUGUCUGGCUCGAGGCCGGGAGAGGUGAGAGGUACUUCAGGGGUAGGGGUGAAAUCUUGUAAUCCUUGAAGGACCACCAGUGGCGAAGGCGUCUCACCAGAACGGACCUGACGGCAAGGGACGAAAGCUGGGGGCACGAACCGGAUUAGAUACCCGGGUAGUCCUAGCCGUAAACGAUACUCGCUAGGUGUCAGCCACGGUGCGACCGUGGUCGGUGCCGUAGGGAAGACCUGAAGCGAGCCACCUGGGAAGUACGGCCGCAAGGCUGAAACUUAA
RNAcentral lists this ribosomal RNA (493 nucleotides) under uncultured euryarchaeote. Its description in RNAcentral is "bacterial SSU rRNA". It matches the Rfam family "Archaeal small subunit ribosomal RNA", at positions 366 to 859 of the family's 1478-position model. Lineage: Archaea; Methanobacteriati; Methanobacteriota. The record is from RNAcentral.